This 569-nucleotide small RNA is filed under the name Pan troglodytes (chimpanzee). RNAcentral's name for it is "retained intron". The record is from RNAcentral. Lineage: Eukaryota; Metazoa; Chordata; Mammalia; Primates; Hominidae.
GCUGACCCUCGACGCUCCCUCCAGGCGUCUGCUGAGCAGCGUCUCUUUCUCUUUAUAGGCAGACACUCGGUCGUUCGUAGUGGAUAGGGGUCAUGACCGGUUUCUCCUAGACGGGGCCCCGUUCCGCUAUGUGUCUGGCAGCCUGCACUACUUUCGGGUACCGCGGGUGCUUUGGGGCGACCGGCUUUUGAAGAUGCGAUGGAGCGGCCUCAACGCCAUACAGUUUUAUGUGCCCUGGAACUACCACGAGCCACAGCCUGGGGUCUAUAACUUUAAUGGCAGCCGGGACCUCAUUGCCUUUCUGAAUGAGGCAGCUCUAGCGAACCUGUUGGUCAUACUGAGACCAGGACCUUACAUCUGUGCAGAGUGGGAGAUGGGGGGUCUCCCAUCCUGGUUGCUUCGAAAACCUGAAAUUCAUCUAAGAACCUCAGAUCCAGACUUCCUUGCCGCAGUGGACUCCUGGUUCAAGGUCUUGCUGCCCAAGAUACAUCCAUGGCUUUACCACAAUGGGGGCAACAUCAUUAGCAUUCAGGUACAAGGGGGAAGUGACUGGAGCAGGGGAAGAAGGU